ACUGGGCGUAAAGCGCACGCAGGCGGUCUGUCAAGUCGGAUGUGAAAUCCCCGGGCUCAACCUGGGAACUGCAUUCGAAACUGGCAGGCUUGAGUCUUGUAGAGGGGGGUAGAAUUCCAGGUGUAGCGGUGAAAUGCGUAGAGAUCUGGAGGAAUACCGGUGGCGAAGGCGGCCCCCUGGACAAAGACUGACGCUCAGGUGCGAAAGCGUGGGGAGCAAACAGGAUUAGAUACCCUGGUAGUCCACGCCGUAAACGAUGUCUACUUGGAGGUUGUGCCCUUGAGGCGUGGCUUCCGGAGCUAACGCGUUAAGUAGACCGCCUGGGGAGUACGGCCGCAAGGUUAAAACUCAAAUGAAUUGACGGGGGCCCGCACAAGCGGUGGAGCAUGUGGUUUAAUUCGAUGCAACGCGAAGAACCUUACCUGGUCUUGACAUCCACAGAACUUUCCAGAGAUGGAUUGGUGCCUUCGGGAACUGUGAGACA
This 484-nucleotide ribosomal RNA is filed under the name Salmonella enterica subsp. enterica serovar Typhimurium. Its description in RNAcentral is "bacterial SSU rRNA". It matches the Rfam family "Bacterial small subunit ribosomal RNA", at positions 553 to 1036 of the family's 1533-position model. The record is from RNAcentral. Lineage: Bacteria; Pseudomonadati; Pseudomonadota; Gammaproteobacteria; Enterobacterales; Enterobacteriaceae.